AAGUCGUAACAAGGUUUCCGUAGGUGAACCUGCGGAAGGAUCAUUAAAGAAUAUCGAGCUUCACAGCUCUUAUUCUCACCCUUCGUAUAAUCAAUCUUUGUUUGCUUGGCAGCUGCGUUCAGGCCUGCAGACGGAACCCGAACCUAGAAUCUCUGCCGUCUGAGUACUAUAUAAUAGUUAAAA
RNAcentral lists this unclassified non-coding RNA (183 nucleotides) under plant metagenome. RNAcentral describes it as "partial contains small subunit ribosomal RNA and internal transcribed spacer 1". The stretch from base 1 to 46 matches the Rfam family "Eukaryotic small subunit ribosomal RNA", at positions 1786 to 1831 of the family's 1831-position model. The record is from RNAcentral.